UGAGUAACACGUAUCCAACCUGUCGUCUACUCUUGGACAGCCUUCUGAAAGGAAGAUUAAUACAAGAUGGCAUCAUGAGUUCACAUGUUCACAUGAUUAAAGGUAUUCCGGUAGACGAUGGGGAUGCGUUCCAUUAGAUAGUAGGCGGGGUAACGGCCCACCUAGUCUUCGAUGGAUAGGGGUUCUGAGAGGAAGGUCCCCCACAUUGGAACUGAGACACGGUCCAA
This 227-nucleotide ribosomal RNA is filed under the name uncultured bacterium. RNAcentral describes it as "partial 16S ribosomal RNA". It matches the Rfam family "Bacterial small subunit ribosomal RNA", at positions 107 to 334 of the family's 1533-position model. The record is from RNAcentral.